UGUUUAAUCUUAUAACCAAUUUUUGUUAAUUUAAAAACAAUUGUCUAAGAACUGUUCAUGUUUAAUUCUUAGGAGCAAACAGCCCUACAGUACUUAAUUUACCCAGGAGUAGACUACUUGUAGUUGAAGGUGGACUGAAGGCCAGACUUAGGCAGGAUUAUUGAACAAAAUCUGCUUGUAGAUGGACUACUGAGGCAAAAAAAUUGGACUCUCAGGAGGUGAACAGAUGUUCAGCAAGAAAUUCGCACAUCAAAUGCUGUGAAUUACACUGAUUUACCCCCCCCCCCCCAAAAAAAAAAGAACAGAGAGACCAAUCAUUAACAGCUUGAGACUUGGUGCACAUAACCUUGCCACAGAAAAGGGGAUUUGCCUAUAAACACUCCCUAAUGAAAGAUUUUGUAAAUUAUUUGUAACACAGGAGAGAUAUAAGAUGUAUUUCAUUUUCCAUUCAGCUACCAAAAAUACAAUCAUUAUUAGUUAACAUUUGAAAGGAAGUUGAUGUAUUUUUUUCUUGAAAGGAAAAGUAUCAAAUUUGUCUCAGAUACCUUUGAUAAUCAAUGUACAGAAAUACUGAAAAUAACACUUAUUUAUUAAGAAAUACCAUAUAUUUAGAAAUCAUUGUAAUAGAUAUUUAUUGUGUAUUAUUGUGUAAAUAAUAUUAUUGUGUGAUUUAUGUAUAGUCUCAAAAUCUAGAUGCAGUGUAUUGUAUAAAAUUGUAUGAACAAUUGGUGAUUCUUAUACUAGUAUGUUGCACACUUGACAAUUAUUGUAAUUGUGUUGGCGCUGAUAAAUAUUUAUAUACAUGUCAUAUAUUAGUUCAUGUACAAAACAUAUAAAUAUUCUAUAAUAUAACAUAAAGUUUUGGCCUUUAACUCAUCAAAAAUGUA
This is a long non-coding RNA of Saccostrea cuccullata (small rock oyster), 887 nucleotides long. RefSeq lists it as uncharacterized. NCBI's taxonomy places the organism in Eukaryota, Metazoa, Mollusca, Bivalvia, Ostreida, Ostreidae. The record is from RefSeq and is a predicted model, not a curated record. The transcript is spliced from 3 exons.